ACAGAAAUGUACAUAUGCGUAAUUGGCGACUAGCUCCCCGUUCUUAGUGCUCGUUAUCUCUCUCGCAGAGGGGUACGCAUUCGCGAUUCGUGUGUGUACCGGUGCUUUCUGAGAAGUGUGUGUCUCUGAGGAAGAUCCUAAUAAUCUGUGGACGAGAGUCAAAUGGUUCUGAGAGGAAGAGGAGGCCUGGGAUGGCAUCGAAAGACAGUGGAGCAACCUUAGAGUGA
Long non-coding RNA from Solenopsis invicta (red fire ant), 227 nucleotides. RefSeq lists it as uncharacterized. Lineage: Eukaryota; Metazoa; Arthropoda; Insecta; Hymenoptera; Formicidae. The transcript is spliced from 2 exons. The record is from RefSeq and is a predicted model, not a curated record.